UGGCGCCCAGUGUGAGGCUCCUGGCAUGGGGGAGUCAACGAGGGAGCCGUUCGAGAAAGCCGGCUAAAAGUGAAAGCAAAUUCAACCAAAGACUGCGGCAAAAGGAAAAACAAACUAAAUCAAGGACUAAAGCUAAAAGCAAAAGCACAUUAAAUCAAGGACCGAGGCCUGCACGGAUGACUACCCGACAUCCCGCACGAGUCACGGUGAGUGAACAGUGACCCCAUUCCCUUUCCUGGACAUGGGUCAAGCAUUGAGCAAACACAAAUUGUUCAUAGAAGGCCUUAUAAAGGCAUUAAAGACAAGAGAGGUAAGGGUUAGAACAAAAGAAUUAUUGUAGUAUUUUCAAUUUAUCCAUAAGGUUUGCCCUU
Cavia porcellus (domestic guinea pig) is the source of this 371-nucleotide regulatory RNA element. It matches the Rfam family "Mason-Pfizer monkey virus packaging signal". Rfam says of the family: The packaging signal is located in the 5' UTR and is required for specific RNA encapsidation. NCBI's taxonomy places the organism in Eukaryota, Metazoa, Chordata, Mammalia, Rodentia, Caviidae. The record is from Rfam.